AGAGUUUGAUCAUGGCUCAGGAUGAACGCUAGCUACAGGCUUAACACAUGCAAGUCGAGGGGAAACGACAUCGAAAGCUUGCUUUUGAUGGGCGUCGACCGGCGCACGGGUGAGUAACGCGUAUCCAACCUGCCCACCACUUGGGGAUAACCUUGCGAAAGUAAGACUAAUACCCAAUGAUAUCUCUAGAAGACAUCUGAAAGAGAUUAAAGAUUUAUCGGUGAUGGAUGGGGAUGCGUCUGAUUAGCUUGUUGGCGGGGUAACGGCCCACCAAGGCAACGAUCAGUAGGGGUUCUGAGAGGAAGGUCCCCCACAUUGGAACUGAGACACGGUCCAAACUCCUACGGGAGGCAGCAGUGAGGAAUAUUGGUCAAUGGGCGAGAGCCUGAACCAGCCAAGUAGCGUGCAGGAAGACGGCCCUAUGGGUUGUAAACUGCUUUUAUAAGGGAAUAAAGUGAGUCUCGUGAGACUUUUUGCAUGUACCUUAUGAAUAAGGACCGGCUAAUUCCGUGCCAGCAGCCGCGGUAAUACGGAAGGUCCGGGCGUUAUCCGGAUUUAUUGGGUUUAAAGGGAGCGUAGGCCGGAGAUUAAGCGUGUUGUGAAAUGUAGACGCUCAACGUCUGCACUGCAGCGCGAACUGGUUUCCUUGAGUACGCACAAAGUGGGCGGAAUUCGUGGUGUAGCGGUGAAAUGCUUAGAUAUCACGAAGAACUCCGAUUGCGAAGGCAGCUCACUGGAGCGCAACUGACGCUGAAGCUCGAAAGUGCGGGUAUCGAACAGGAUUAGAUACCCUGGUAGUCCACGCCGUAGACGAUGAAUGCUAGGUGUAGGAGGUAUCGACCCCUUCUGUGCCGGAGUUAACGCAAUAAGCAUUCCGCCUGGGGAGUACGGCCGCAAGGCUGAAACUCAAAGGAAUUGACGGGGGCCCGCACAAGCGGUGGAGUAUGUGGUUUAAUUCGACGCAACGCGAAGAACCUUACCAGGGCUUGACAUUGAGUGAAAGGACAAGAGAUUGUCCCCUCUCUUCGGAGACACGAAAACAGGUGGUGCAUGGCUGUCGUCAGCUCGUGUCGUGAGAUGUUGGGUUAAGUCCCGCAACGAGCGCAACCCCUAUUCUUUGUUGCCAGCACGUAAUGGUGGGAACUCAAAGGAGACUGCCGCGGACAACGCGGAGGAAGGCGGGGAUGACGUCAAGUCAUCAUGCCCCUUAUGUCCUGGGCUACACACGUACUACAAUGGGAUGGACAGAGAGCAGCGAAGCCGCGAGGCCAAGCGAACCCCAUAAACCAUCUCCCAGUUCGGAUUGCAGGCUGCAACCCGCCCGCAUGAAGUUGGAAUCGCUAGUAAUCGCAGGUCAGCAUACUGCGGUGAAUACGUUCCCGGGCCUUGUACACACCGCCCGUCACACCACGGAAGUCAUUCACACCCGAAGCCGGCAGGCUAACCUUUUGGAGGCAGCCGUCUAAGGUGGGGCGAUGACUGGGGUGAAGUCGUAACAAGGUA
RNAcentral lists this ribosomal RNA (1503 nucleotides) under metagenome. Its description in RNAcentral is "bacterial SSU rRNA". It matches the Rfam family "Bacterial small subunit ribosomal RNA". The record is from RNAcentral.